RNAcentral lists this long non-coding RNA (1441 nucleotides) under Numida meleagris (helmeted guineafowl). RNAcentral describes it as "lncRNA (ENSNMEG00000015391.1)". The record is from RNAcentral. Lineage: Eukaryota; Metazoa; Chordata; Aves; Galliformes; Numididae.
AUGCACACACCCCACGCCCAGGGCAGAUCUGUGCUGCGAUGUGUUCUUGUGCCCAGGUGUUGGCGACCCCUGGGGAUGCAUAAUCCACCUUCAGCACCCAUCACAGCCACAGCCUGUUCCCAGCCAGACCUGGUGCUCAUGGAGCAGAGGACCCCCUCAGAUUGCACCCACCAGCACACAGCACUGGUACCUGAUGUCACACUGCCUGGCACCAGCUGCUCAACCCAGAGCACCACCACAGCACUGGGCUCCUCCCCAGAGCCUUCAGUUGGCAAAGAGCCGCACAGAAACUUUCCUUCCCUAGGAACAUGGUUUUACCCAACCAGAUUUGCACAGGUCAAGGUGGAGCUGCAGCCAAACUGCUCCCCCCAUUCCUGGAUCAGCCCCAUCCCUGCGUGCUCCCAUCACUCAUUCCCUGCUUGGGCUUUUCUGCAGAAAUAUCUGGAGGAUGACUGUUCUUCCUACAAAUGCCCAUGUUCACUUGCCAACUUGGAUGCAGAUGCAAAGUCCUCCAUUAGUCAUUUGGACUCCCAUUUUUCAUUAUCUUUUCCAUGGGGUGAUGCCAGGAACUCCUGGGACAAGUUCCUCACUGUUGAACACAAAGAUGCAGACACAACCUUUGAGAUCCUGUCCCGCUGACUGCCAGACUUACAAGCAGGAAAUACCAGCAGGGAUGUCCUGUCCCGUGCAGACAGCGCUGACCACGGCCUCUGCCAAGCCACUACAAUAGACCUCUCCCUGCAGCUCCCCGGGCCCGGCAAGUCUCCAAGAGAACAGCGGAGGAGAAGGCAGACAGGCUCCAAGCACGGUGCCAGGCUGCUGUGCCCACUCAGUGCAGCUCCCUCCCACAUCGCAUCCUCUCAUCCUUCCUUGCUUGCAGCUCUGCCCCAGGGUGGGGAGGGUGGCACACGGGGAAUGGGGGAUGCACCAGCGGGGCCAGAACUGCCCCUAUAGCUUUUGUGUUUGGAUAAUCUCUGCAUCACGUUGUGUUAAAGCAUCGGGCCACAAAAAGCACUGCUUCUGGCCCUGAAACAGCCACUGCUGCAGGGAAGUGACGUGCCGAGGACUCAGAACAGCUCUGAGUCCUGAAUGAGGAGGACCAAGUCCAUCUGAACGAGGAAAACUCCAAGCCCACCUUCCAGCUGCGCUUGCAGCAGCACACGUGGCUAUUUCAGAGCAGAGAGUACUUUUUUUUCACUGUUAUUGCUCUUGGAUUAUUUCUGCUUCUGUAAGCCCUGACAGCUCAGCCACCACCCAGGCCGGGAGGUGUUAGGAGGGGCCUGCAUGACACAGCUAAUGCUCGAGAACGCAGCUGAGCGUGGAUUCCCGAGGCUUGUCUAAAAAAGCACAUUCAGAGAGUUUCCCUCUUCCGCUGCUACUCCCUCUUCCUCUUUCACAGGAAACUCCAGCAGAGAGCAAAUAAAUAAUCCAACGACUAUCA